Molecule: long non-coding RNA, 7198 nt
Organism: Falco peregrinus (peregrine falcon)
Lineage: Eukaryota; Metazoa; Chordata; Aves; Falconiformes; Falconidae
Exons: 3
Source: RefSeq, a predicted model, not a curated record
UAGACUAAUUCAAAGCUGGAGGUUGGCUGAUCCUGAAAUCCAUUUAUACAGGACAAACAGGCACUCAGCAGGGACAAAGAGCGAACACACUGUCAAAAUAAUUCCGUCUGCAUUUCUGGCUGCACACCCAGGGUGAACACAGAGCAAGCGCGCUUCUCCAACUUCAGAAACAAAAAGAUACACGAGAGACUGCAGCACCAUCCUGACUGAAGGCUUCACGAUCUGCUUCCCUCACGUGACAAGAACAGGUAGCUAAGGAAUGCAGUUCACUGGAUUCCCAGCAGAAACCCGAACACAAGAGACCCAAGACAGCAGGAUGCACAAGAGGACUGGAGAACGCUGAAGAAAAUGCAUCAAAUCCAUGCACUUGCACGGGUAACGGGAACUACAAGGAAGAGUCGCUAAAAGAAACAAACAAAACCCACUAAAAACAGAAGCAUACCAAAACCUGCAAAGUUCCACCCCCUCCUGGGGUUUUUCCUCUACCCUCAAAUGCAAAUUAUUCUCCAUGUGCAGUUUCCAGUAAAUCAAACUAUGCUAAAUAACCCCGACAUGUGCAGGGCUGAGAACCAGCCAACAAGCAAUGAUGAGAUGUCCCUGGAAUGAUUAAGGAAAAUGCAGACAUCUCUCAGGUUACAAGGAAGCCUGUUGUACUCUCCCCUUAGUGCAUAUGCAAUGCUGCAAGCACUGUUCCGAAAACCUCUGAUAUUCAAAGGCUCAUUUGGUUGACAAGGAGCCUGUGGAUUCGUGGACAGAUUGUCACACAAACUGUCAGGUUUUUAGAGAGACUAUCAGACCUCUCUUUGCCUACGUUAUGGAGCACAUCAAAGACACAGAAGAUGAACCAGACGCAGACUGCACAGAUCUGACAGAAUGAGCUAUUUAGCCUCGUCAGAAGAGGACAAGGGGUAGAAGAGAUCUCUGUAGCUGGCAAAGAGAUUGUGAAGUCUCCAAAGACAAGCCCAGAAGGACCAUGGAAUGCCAAUCAGGUGGAGAGAGGCACUUUCACAGGGGGGCUAUUAAGCCAUAAAUAUUAACACAGAAAUCAAACACUCACAGAGAGCACAGGCAGCCACACAAAUGCGUCAUUCCCAUACUCCAGCAGAGACCACUGCUUCACAGUCACAACCCUGGUGCAGCACGUAACCCACAGCCUCCAAUAGCUCUUGGUGACCAUCAGCUUAGUAUUGUACUUUCACCACAGAAUCCAGGCAGAGGAAAGGCACUUCUCUCUUUUAGCCCAUUAUAGAAUAAUACAAAUAAUUACUUAUUAACAUUAAACCAGAAAAAUCUCAUAAAGUCUUGCUGCCAAGGCAUCUCAGGAACAUAAAUGGAAGAAUGUCACAUGUAUAGUGUACCAUACAUCCAUAGAUGCAAACAAAAUCUACUCUCAGAUUUUAAUCUCUAAACCAUCUCUAACAGUAAGGAGCACUACGUGCAAACAACAGCAGACCUUGACACCAGGACUAAAUGAGGAAGAAGUAACAGUGGGCUUAAAGCUCCAAAACAAAUAUUUUGGUAUAAGCAUCGUAAUUAUUGAGGGUUUCUUUCUGUAGCUGAUAAAACUUUGUGACAAGAAAAUGCUUGGGACACAAUGUUAUAAGCAGGGGUUUUUUCAGGCUCAUGAAAAAAGUAUCAGUUUUUCACCUACAUCUACUGGGUAAGGCCAAACAAAGGAUCCUAGACCUUCAACUGGGGAGCGUUUGGGCUCAGAAAUCAGACAACAGGAACACAAAGAAGAGACAGAACUAUACAUUUAUUGGAGAACAACAGGAGAGAAGGAAAAAAAAAAAAAAAAAAAAAAAAUCAACCACCACAAACACUGCAGACCCGGAGCCAAAUCCUCUCUCCACAGAACAAGUGAACACACAACAGACUUGAACACAGCACUGUCCUAUUUCCAGCCAGCAAGGACAAACUGUGUUCCUCACCGGGACGCCCUUUGCCUAGCAAAGAAAUCGACAGCUAGGACACAAUUACAUUUUUUUUGUUCUUCCUGCAACAAACCCUUACCUCCAACUGGAGGAAGAGUUAUCUCGGUGCCACACGAAUGAGUGAUUACCCAUCAGGAAGUAAUGGCUUUUUGCUGCUGCUAACGGAAGCUGUACCUCAACAAAUAACCUAAAGGUGAAAGGUCUCAUAUACUACACUUAAUUCCCUAAACAGCCAAAGGAAAUUUUGUGGUAUACAUACCUAUUGUGAAAAAUGAAGGUAAAAAAAUUCAUAUACAUGCCCAGAUGGGCACACAAUACAGCAUUUUUACACACCCAUAUGAGUCAACUUCUCUGUCUCAAGAACCACAGUCCAGCCAGUUCAAGGCUUGCUGCAUGUCAGAGCAAAUUAUAUGAUUUCUGUACACAGUCCAAUGCAUCAUAAGACAUCCUAUGGGGGUGGGGAAACCCAGGCACUCCUCAGUUGACCCAGGCAUGCAAGCUCACAGCAACCUUGCUGCUUGAAAUUAUGUAAGCUAAAAUUUGGCUUCUGUUCAGAAGAAUGAGGAGGGAGAAGUAAAGAGAAGGAAUUAAUCCUUUGUUUCUUAUGAAAAGACCUCAAAUGCAAUAAUUUGGAAGGAAAAGAAAAGCUAGCUCUUCUUGUAAAAUAACCUAGUUAUUACAAGUCUUCUCAGAUCAGAGGCUUAAGAGUAUUAUCAGCUCCCGCAUUUCCAACUCCCAUCUCUCGUUCCUCUGCAGCCCCUUGGAGGCUGGCACAGAUUAAACGGCGUCUCAGCAUUUUCUGGCUCUGUAGCUUUUCCUCACUGUCACUGCCCACAGGGCAGCAUCUUACCUCAUGGCUACUCCACUGGUGAAUACCCACCUACCCUACCAGGGCAAAACUCUCCUCUCCAAAUUUGUCAGGGUUUGAUACCCUGUAGUGCAUAUGAAACCUGUGUUUACUAUUUUUAUUUUAAAAAAAAAAACCACAAAAAUUUAGUGAUUUCGUAUUUAUUUACAAUGGGGCUGAACUGUGAAUGGGUAAACCAGGUAAUCCUCAUUAGAGUCAAGGUGUUUAAUGGUAAACUGCAAUUGGGAUCAUUCUUGGUACAGUACAACAUACACCCAAACUACCGGUUAAUCCCAAAACAAGGUAACAAAAACCCGACCACUCAUCAUCCUGGAAACAGGAGAUUCUGCAACAGGUCAAGUAAAUACCAUUUGCAGUGGCUCGAGACCUCAUGGCAAGGCUGAUGGUGCACAUAUAUUUAAGAACAUUAAAACAUGUUAUUUACAAGCUACUUCUGAGUCACUCUGGUCUCUUAGGAACGUGCAUUAUAUGUUCAAGAAAUUGGAGUAGUUCUUUUAUUUAUGUUUCUUUAAAAUGACUGGCAGAUGGGGAAAAACCUUCAGAGAAGUGGCCCUAGGCUGUCACGAAACAUGUAUUUAACACACCCACAGUAAACUACUAAACACACUCACUUCAGAAGAUACAGCCACUGUAAAUAUACAGAGUAGUCCCUUUUUAAAGUCUGAUAUCUGGACUACUUAAUUCAGCACAAAUUUGAGAUGUUCUGCAGAGUCUGCCCAAUUUACAGAGUAAUUAUCAGCCAUAUUUUCCAUUAACGUGAUGACAGCAUAUUCUGUAAGGGCAGAGCCAUAAUUUUAAGGGCCUUUUAAAAAAAAAUAAACCCAGGCCUUGGCUUUAUUUUUAGGUCGCAAUAGUGAUGACUUUUUUCCUGCCGCAUGUGGAAAGACUGCUGCGGGCUGAAACAGAAAUCUCAGAUUCCCCAAAGUCAGGCUCUUAUGCAAGUGGAUUCCAUACACACAGGGAAGUUUUGUCUACCUGAAACAAUUUCCAAGACUAAUUCUAAAUCUGGAAUAUCCCAAGAGAAGUGCAAGCUUCAAUCAUCCAAAUCCCAGCAGACAUACAGACUCCAGCCUAAGGUCUGGAACAUAUUUAAUCAAUUCACUGUGCUAACUCUCUACAGUUUCAUAAAAUAGCCAAUACUGCAAUAACAGGGCCCAAAAUUAAUUGUACACUAGUUGGCAAAUUACACAGAAAUAACAGGCAGCACUGGCAUUUACUGCAGCAAGAUAGUGUAGUUGAUGCUAAGGUACAACUGCACCACAGUAAAAAUAGGUGAGAGACAGAUCAGGGGUGUGUGCACACAGGUGUGUGUGUAUAUGUAUGUGCAGGUGAGCACUGCUUUCCAUUAGAAAAGCAGCAUUGGUUUUACUGGUGACAGUGCUACCUCUACACACACGCUUAUAAUUACCAUUCUGCUAUAAACAUGCACAUGCAGUACGAAGAGGGAGAAAACAGAAAUGUAAACUAUUAGGCAAUAAAAAAAUGGAUGAAAGGAAAAUUGGAUUGAAUAAAAAAUGGCAAGGGAGGGCAUCAGAAAUAUUAGAUAAUAGGGAAAGCUCUCAGAGGUGAGACAAAAGCACCCCUUGUUUUGCUCUUUUUGGACGAGACUUGACAAAUACUCUGGUGUUGAGUUCUAACAAAGAGACAAGAUCACAUUCUAGGUCUUUUUGUUCUGCCUUUAACAAGUCUUCAUAGUGAUACACUGAUGAGACCAGAUACCAGAUUGUUAUCUAAAUUCAGCUGCUAAAUUCAGUGUUAAGACACUAAGUUCAAACCACACAUUGCCACAUUUAUUUCACAAGUCGAGCCUGAGGAUGGAUUCCUCCAAGAUGAAGCAGCCCAUAAGCAUCAUUGUCUCCCUCUGCAAAAGUACUCUAAAUGCCAGGAAAACAAAAUCACCGUAAGGCUCUGACAGUUCACCCUUCAGCACACAGAUUGCGAACGCAUCUCUCCACUAAUCGUCCAGACCGAAGAGGAAGCAAACACUUAGCUGCUGUUUGCAUAGAGGCUGCUUGUAAUUUGAUGUAAUGUACUGUACAUCAGUCAACACAUAUUGAAGAGAGAACAUACACACUGCAGAGAAGGCAGAAAGGCAGCGCUGACACCCAACACAUUUUAUUUACCCUAUCGUAGAUGAUCUUUGAGUUCAUUAAAUUACCAAUCAAUUUAUCUGAUCUCUAAAAGCUGGUGUACUGAGGUAUAUUAACUACUAAACUUUACAAGCUUGCAGCAAAACAGCCAUUAAAUGGGCAAAUUGAGCACGGGGUACUGGAAGUCAGUUUGCAAGUUGGCCAAUGGCAACAACAAAGCAACCUCUCCCUGCGGACAGGGAGACAGGGGAGAAGCAUUAGGAAGGCAGACGCUGUACAGCCCUAAUGGAUACCAGCAGAAAGAAGAAAUUAGAGAUGCCAUACUCCCUGCUCCUACCCCAGCAUGACAUGUAAUGACUGUGAAUAACUGAAGAGAGGAAGAGGAUGGGAGGUCAGAACCAGUUCAGAUUACAAUUUCAAAUUCUUUUUUUUUUUUCAUUUUGUUCCCAUUCAGAAACACGCACACAGGACAAAAUCUUCAGUUCUCUAGAUAUUAAGGGCUGUGCCCAGAGAGACUGCUGGAGCCACCGCUGCCCAAAAAACAACGUCCACAAAGCCUCAGAUAGAGGAAGUGAUCUGGAUGAUUAGGACAGAUCAUAUCAGCCUAUUUCAGAAAACUAUACUGAGGAUUAUUCUUCUUGUGUUCAGAAGAUUAAAUCAACAGUUCGAUGAACUGGGUGCUUCGCUAUAUUGCUCCACUGGCCUGAAAGGCAAACUGCUUUUUUGGAUCACAGCUGCUGUAGGUUCACAUAAAGCACUGCUGUGUUUGUGGGAGGAAAGGUUUGCAGCAGAGGCAGGCGAUAAGAACUGAACAAAUUAAGUAAGAAAAAAAAUUGAAAUUGUAAAGAAUAUUGUAAGGCUCAAUUACGAAGGCAGGGACAAGAAAUAUACGUCUGAAAGGGAAACACAUUUUUUUAAGACCAGAACUUAGUUUUCACACUAGCUGUUCUUCCUCGAAGUGCCCCAACAGCUACAGCACUAAGCUAGUGGCUGGCAACACAGUGACUGGCGGCAAACAAAGCAGCCCUUACACACACAACAAUAGCUCACACACAGCCCUAGGAUGUUACAGGCCAUUUUAUUGAGAAAGCAAAUGCUGUUGGUGACACCUGCCAAGACAUAUCAACUCAUUUAGAAAAGGGCACCAAAUCUUUAAAUCCCACUGAGAGGGCAGAGGGUUUGGUUGAAGACAACACCUUAACGUGGCUCGCUUUUUCAAAGGUAGCUGAGUGCUCUCUGGGUCUCAUGGACAGACACAGCUCAGGAUCCCAACUCGGGGAACUGAUUCCUCAUCCUUUUCAACAGAAAUCCCCUGCCACAUUCACCAGGUAACAUCAAUUUGUUAAGCCCUGCAGAAUCUGCUUAAAACUGAUCAUGAAGACCCAACAUGGGCAUACUGUUCUGGAAGGCUUUUUUUUCCAGGUGGCUGUCACUUUCUCCACAGAGAUUUUUAUUGUGCUGAGUUAACUGGCCAAAAAGCACAGAAAUGACAAUGGACUCACAUGCAGGGGUGACCUUGGUGCACCGAAAGUGGGAGACUGCUCCAAGAAGCAGGACCAAGGCCAAUAAGAAUAACAAACAAAAAUAAGUUCACCUCUCAUUCUUUACACAUCCUAAAUGCUUUACAAACAUGAAUUAAAUGGUAAAUGCAAGGGCAAAAGGAGAUUAAUUUAAACAAACCCAACGAGGUGAAUGCCACACAAAAAUUACAAGAUUUCUGAAGCUAAGCAGAGAUAAAGGUACAGUCUACCUUAUUAAGAAAAAAAGAAGUAUUUGUUUAAUGCAUUCCUUUUCCACUUGCAUAAAUACUCUACAGCUUAUGAAUACCUCGUGCUACUUACUGUUCAGAAAAACUACAAGCAGAAAAACCUUGCAUAUUUAUGUAUACACUGUUCACAGUAGUCCACAGCCACCUAAUAAAAGAUAACAUGGGAGCUGGAGCUUAGGAAAACCUGAACAAGGAAGAGACAUUGUCUGUAGCAAGGAGUUUCACUUCAUCUGCUGAGAAUACCUUCAGCCUUUCUUGCUGUUUUACACUGCUCCAAAAAGCUGCCCAUGUUUUGCUAUACUGUAACACUGCCCUUCACCUUUUUCAGGUUAAACACAGUCAAGAGGCCAAAUAGCAAAAGGAGUCAAACAAAUACUUACUUGGGAGAAAGUAUACAACUAAUAUGCUAUGUGAAACCUCCUGCCAUCUGAAGGGUUCCAGAAGAAACUGCUUUUCUUUCUUAUACUUUUUAAAGGAUGUUUCUGCCAUUUGGAGAAAGCAGGGCAAUGCAUACACUGAAUCCUUAAUAAAAAUCCCA